This 1885-nucleotide long non-coding RNA is filed under the name Heterocephalus glaber (naked mole-rat). RNAcentral's name for it is "lncRNA (ENSHGLG00000049960.1)". Lineage: Eukaryota; Metazoa; Chordata; Mammalia; Rodentia; Bathyergidae. The record is from RNAcentral.
GGGGUCCACGUCCGCAAGAAGGAUGGGAGGUGGAACAGCAGACUGCGUGUGCGGCUGUACGGGCUAUCUGACCUUAGGAGAGUCCCCGAAGAGGCGCUACUCUCGAGCGGCGGGUCGUGAGGAGCCAGGGAUCCUGAAGCCCUGCCAGGUCCUUGCACUUUGCAUGAGGAAAUUAAGGACCAGGAUCGAGGUUGUGCAGGCGCCUCCUUGAUUACCAGGCCCCUUUCGACCCACAGAGCCUUCUCAUUGGCUGUUCCAUGGGCCUGGAAAACUCUCCUUACCCAUAACUCAACUGGUUCCCCCGGGGGGGGGGGGGCGCUCUCCCUCAGAGGCUUAACUGACUUCACCUGAGGAUCCUUCUAGCUCUUAUAACUAGUCUCAGGCCUCAUAGGAAUGUUUAGAGCAUUAAAUGAGGUCGGUUAGGCUGCAGGUCAGUGCCCUGCAUACUGUGAGAAUUCAGUAAAUGUCAAUAGUUAUUAUUAUGCCUAGUUUGCUCAUAAGUUCAUGUCUGUCUCUUCCUGUGUUGGAUUCCCAAGACCAAGCACCAGUACCUGGCAGGUAGGAGGAACCCAACAAUGAUCAAUAAAGGAUCUACCAGUAGACCAGCCAGAGCUUACUGGUGUCUUGGCACCUGAAGUAGGGAGGUGCUAUCCAUGUGAAGCAAGAGUUUCUCCAUGUCAGGCCAGCACAUGGCUGGGGAUGCCCCCAAGCCAGCCUCCUGGUCUUCAAAUCCCAGAAUGGAGAGAGCAGAGGGCUCAGCAGGAGAGAGCUGUCACUUUGGGCCUUGGGACGUGCCUGUCCUCACCCUCACAAGCAUAUUGUGUCAUGAGCGAGACUUGGCCCAGCCUGCCCACCCUUCCCUGACUUCUGAGUGCUUCUACCUCCUGCAGUGUGGCUCUUGCCAGCUUGCUUGGAGAUAUAUGUUUAGGGCUCUUCUUACCCACCAGACUGGGCCAACACAGAGUCCUAUUUCUCUUUGUAUUCCUAACUUUGUCAGGCCCCAUGCUGUGGAUAAGGGAUGCCACACUGACAAACAGGGACACUGGGGAAGAGCCCUAUGAGCAGGAUGAGCAAGAACCUGCCGUGGGGGGGGGGGGCAGUUUAGCCAAGGGAACUGUAAAGUCAGGGCACAGAGGUGGCUAGUUCUAGUGGCAGAAAGGCCAGGGAGACUGGAGCUAGAGGGCCAAAAGGUGCUGAGUUAAGAGAUGAGCAGGGCCAGGCUGUGGAGGUCUUCAGGCCAUGGGAAGAGGGCUGUGGCUUACCCUAAGCACAGGGGCAGAGGCCAUCAUUGGAGGUGGGGUUAAUUCAGGCCUGUGAAAGCUCUACUGAAGAGAGGCAGGGAGCCUAGAAGAAGCCUGAUGCAAGCAUCCAGGCAAGAGGUGGAGACUGAAACCAGGCUGUAGCAGGGAACAUGAAGGAGGCAGGGCAUACUUCAGAGACAAACAGCUGUAGCACUGAUGACAGCAGCAGGCAGCGAAACCACUGAGCUAAAUCCCCGGCCCGGAUUUUGGAAAAUGGAGGAUCCACAAUUGAAAUGGGGAGGCGAAAGAGGACCAGGUUGGACAGGGGCUGGGUGGUGGCAGCAGGAGCUCCGUGUGGGCCGUGCUGAGUUUUCAACACCUAUUAGUCACCAGUGGAAAUGCCAAGUAGUGAUGUGUCUACAAGCUCCCAGCUGGGCAGAGAUGGGGUUUCUCUCUCCUUUGUACUCCAGCACCCUUGCCAGAGCCCAGCACAAUCCUGGCACCAGAUAAGAUUAGUGAGAGAAGGAACGACUGAAGCUGGACGAAAAGGUUUACAGUAGGCUUUCCGAGACCACCAGAGGGCAGCACCAUCCCAAAGACCAGUCUCCCCAGGGUGGUGAAGGCCCUCCACUGUCCUUUCCAAG